This 497-nucleotide ribosomal RNA is filed under the name uncultured bacterium. RNAcentral describes it as "partial 16S ribosomal RNA". It matches the Rfam family "Bacterial small subunit ribosomal RNA", at positions 28 to 507 of the family's 1533-position model. The record is from RNAcentral.
GAUGAACGCUGGCGGCGUGCCUAAUACAUGCAAGUCGAGCGAACAGACGAGGAGCUUGCUCCUCUGACGUUAGCGGCGGACGGGUGAGUAACACGUGGAUAACCUACCUAUAAGACUGGGAUAACUUCGGGAAACCGGAGCUAAUACCGGAUAAUAUAUUGAACCGCAUGGUUCAAUAGUGAAAGACGGUUUUGCUGUCACUUAUAGAUGGAUCCGCGCCGCAUUAGCUAGUUGGUAAGGUAACGGCUUACCAAGGCAACGAUGCGUAGCCGACCUGUGAGGGUGAUCGGCCACACUAGAACUGAGACACGGUCCAGACUCCUACGGGAGGCAGCAGUAGGGAAUCUUCCGCAGAGGGCGAAAGCCUGACGGAGCAACGCCGCGUGAGUGAUGAAGGUCUUCGUAUCGUAAAACUCUGUUAUUAGGGAAGAACAAAUGUGUAAGUAACUAUGCACGUCUUGACGGUACCUAAUCAGAAAGCCACGGCUAACUACGUG